AUGAAAACCCAGGGAGUGAAACUCAUCGUGCCCCCCCCCCGGGGCCCCCCAGAAACUCCACCUGGGCCUUCAACACUGGAACCAGCCAAAGUAUCGAGAGGAGACAAAACAAAUGGGAGCUGGCUCAGCCGUGAAGAACGCCUACUGCUCUUCAGAGAAUCCACGUUCCCAGAAACCUUAAGGUACCAAUUCCAGGGGGAUCUGAUGACCUCUACUGAUGUCUAUAGGCACCAGUCACCCAUGUGGUGAACAGGAUGAAAACUCUGGGGAACAUUCUAGCUGCAUGCAAACUACAGCACAGAACAGUUGUGUUCCUGUGAACCGCUGAAGAACAGUUUGAGUAAAAUUUAACCAAGGAGGGGCUUGGGAACGGGAAGCUGGUGAGGUGCUGCACAGCAUGCUAGAGUUACCCUGGCCAAGGUUCAGAGGUUCAGUCCCGUAUCAUCAAGGUGGGAACAUGGCAUCAUCCAGGCAGGAUGAGAUGAAAGUUCUACAUCUUCAUUUGAAGGUUGCUAGCAGAAUACUAGUUACUGGUUGUCCCAGGCAGCUAGGACAACCACAGGGGUCUUAAAGCCCACACCCACAGUGACACACCUACUCCAACAAGACCACACCUUCUAAUAGUGCCACUCCCUGGGCUGAACAAACCAUCACAGGGUCUGUGUUGAUGUCCUUGGCUCAUGUACCACCAAAGGCCAUGCAGAUGUCCCUGAUCUGGGCUACUGCCUGACACCACAUUGAUGUCUGAGCAUUGUGCUGAGCUGGUCACACCCUUUUCCUAGGCAGCACGUGAGAGCUGUCUCUGUCCCUCAUCAGCUGCAGCACUCCAGAGAGCCGGCUCAGCCACUUGUCUACUAUGUGGUGGUGUGGGUGAGGGAGAGAUGCCCUCUCCCCAUCUCAUCCUCACUGCCUGAAGCAGGCAGGAGAGCUGUUCCUGGUCCUCACCAGCUGCCGCACUUGAGAGAGCCGACCCUGCAGCUCUCCUGGGCACACAGCAGAGCUGGCCCUGGUGGCAGGAGCUCAUGUGAACUGGCUUCAAGGGCUCGAGAGAAGAUCCAGAGCUCACCCUGGUGAUAUGGGUGCAGGAGACCUGGAAGGCUGACCACCCAGGCCCAGAUCCAGGGCUUUGAGUUAGCCCACCCCAAGCCCCCAUCUACCCCAUCUAUGAACUGAUACAAUGCAUGAAAGGGGCCAUUUCUGCAGACCCAAAGCUGUAGGAUCUCCAUGACCCAGAGCAACACGGAAUAUCCAAGAGGACUUCCAGUGAGGAUCCAGUAUUGAUAGCAUAGCAGAAGCCAGAGGCCUCCAACCAGACAAAUGACUCAUUGCAAUGAACAUUUGCAAAUAAAGAUGUGUGGACGAAAGGGUGUGCCGUGUGACACACUGUGACAUACGACAGCUUCCACGACAAGAUUUUGUUUUAAUUAUUUUCUUUGUUGAGGGUGGGGUUGCAAAGGUGGGGGGCAGAUACAGAGGGACAGGGAGUGAGUGGGUUUGGGGUGCAUGGUGUGAAAUUCACAAAGAAUCAGUAAAAAGUUUUUGUUUGUUUGUUUGUUUUUUAAAGCAUCCCAGUACAUUUGCCAUGAAAGUUGCUAACACAGAGAGAAUAUUCCUCUUAGGAGAGAUGUUUUAAAUACAACUGCUAAGGCAGCAGGGAGCCAUGUUUGCAUAUGCUAAGCAAACAAGGCCUUUCUCUCACCCUGCUUCUCUAAGAAUUUCCCAAGAAGCCUCAUUUACAGUAAAUACCUGUCCUAGCCCCUUUGUGUAAUUCCUGCAGUGUACGGUUCUACCUUGUCAGACAGCAGUCCUAAGGAAGGCACCUCAAGGGCCGUCUUAUAAUCACACAUACUGAAAAGGGUGAAAAAGAGAUUAAAAAAGAAAAAGAAAAUUCUAACUAAUCCCUUGAGAUGUGCUUCAAAAACUACCAAAAUCAUAUGCUUGGCUACUGUAUAAAGACACACAGGCUAGUCUCUUAAGGAGCCCACACCCACACUUGGGUGUGUGCCUUGAUAUUUUUUCUGAAUACUAUAGUUCUAUUAAAACUUUUGCCUGAAUUUAUAUUAAAAUAGCUUCCUAAGUCUGC
RNAcentral lists this long non-coding RNA (2083 nucleotides) under Mus pahari (shrew mouse). RNAcentral's name for it is "predicted gene 14342 (MGP_PahariEiJ_G0005632.1)". Lineage: Eukaryota; Metazoa; Chordata; Mammalia; Rodentia; Muridae. The record is from RNAcentral.